Long non-coding RNA from Drosophila eugracilis, 249 nucleotides. RefSeq lists it as uncharacterized. Lineage: Eukaryota; Metazoa; Arthropoda; Insecta; Diptera; Drosophilidae. The transcript has 3 exons. The record is from RefSeq and is a predicted model, not a curated record.
GUUUUUUUUGUCUUAAAAAUUAUUUUUAAGAAACAUAUUACUGAAAUGUGAAGAGCCAAAUUAGAGAACAAGAAAGUUUAUACGGGAAGUAAGAAAGGUGAUAUAUACAAAGAUAAGAUUCCAUCUUUGAAGUUCCAUAAAGGAUGGACAGAAAAAGGAAGGUAGGAAAGAUGCGUUGCUCUAAAUAUAAGUGAAAUGGAAAAGGAGAGACUGCCCCUGAAAAUUAUAUUAUUCCAAGAGUUCGAGAAU